UCCAAACAAAUGUCAUAGUUUUGGCAGAAAUAGGCAGGAUGGAGUUAGUUUCUCAGUUGAAAAAAGUAUUUGUUUUUAAAAGACAUAAUUUGUGUGUCAGAACAAACAAGAAGAUGAAAGUAAGAACAUUUGAAGUAGAUUACAGAGUAGACAUUAAAGCUAGCAAAGAACCAAGCAGCGUACACUUCAUACCAGGGGGCGCAGGUGGUGCUGGUGCUGCUGCAGGUGGUGCUGGUGCUGGUGCUGCUGCAGGUGGUGGUGGUGCAGGUGUGUGGUGAGGAGACCCGAGAAGGAGGACCGGGGUGUGAAGUGGAGUGUUGUCGGUAGUGGACACCAUCUGAGGCGCCACAUCCCCUGUAGAAGAAGACAUCCGAGGCAGUCCUCAUCGGCAGAGCUUCCUUUUCCUUCCCCGCCCGUUGUGCCUCUGCACCGAUGACGUCAGAGGCUCCUCCCCCCCCUGAUGACAUCAUCGCUG
Long non-coding RNA from Entelurus aequoreus (snake pipefish), 475 nucleotides. RefSeq lists it as uncharacterized. The transcript has 3 exons. The record is from RefSeq and is a predicted model, not a curated record. Lineage: Eukaryota; Metazoa; Chordata; Actinopteri; Syngnathiformes; Syngnathidae.